This 1278-nucleotide long non-coding RNA is filed under the name Helianthus annuus (common sunflower). Its description in RNAcentral is "sRNA HanXRQr2_Chr04g0175731". Lineage: Eukaryota; Viridiplantae; Streptophyta; Magnoliopsida; Asterales; Asteraceae. The record is from RNAcentral.
UUUUGCACUCUGUGACUUAAAUUCCGAAGGAACAGUUUCACUGCAAUGAUUGUGGAAUUUGUAGGUUAGUAAGGAAAAAAGUGAUAUUGUUUGUGAAUCUGUAUAUAUAUGAUUGUUCUUUAAUAUAGGCUGAUGACAAAGUGUAAAUGACUACAGAGCUUGUGGUACGAAUUUCUUCCAUUGCGAAAAGUGUGGAACAUGCUCAUUCUUUCAUGGGUCUAUCGUGAAGCAAAUAUAAGCUGAACCCCUUUGACUGGUGUCAUAGGAAGGCAGAUUCUGACGAGAACUUUUGGUUAUGGAAGAUCAUGUAUUGUAUGAUUUUCUAGGGCCUGCAAGAGAUGAAAAUGAAUAACAUGGGAGGCUAUUUUCAGAGCGAUUUAAUAUACUUUUUUUUCACGGAACAAUGUAUUUUUUUUAAAUAGUCUUCUUUUAAGUAAUCAGAUGUACUUACAGUCUCUUUUAUUGUUUUAUAUCACUUUCCGAUUGAUUUUGUUUGAAUUACCAGAUUGGAUCCGUAUGCUCUAAUAAGAUGGGAAAAACAGGGUUUAUCCAAUGGUGAUGAAUGGGUUUUCAAAUACAUCGGGAAAAGAAGAAUAAUUGGGUACCAAAGAAGGUCGGAAUUGUGGCAUGGUGAGUGGAACUGAAUAGGCUCCCGACGUGCGACUCGCCGAGAAGAAGGAUCAUCCCAGUUCAAGACGAGAUGUGUCCGUUAUGUUGGAAAGCCCCUGAAUCUGUAGAACAUGUAUUUAAUUCGUGUCGGUUGGGGUAAGGUGGUUGCGUGUAUCAUGAAUCAUCUUCUCGAGCAGCAUAAGGCGAUAAUCGGAUCAAAGAAGGUUUAAAAAGAUUUUAGUGGGAUCUUGCAAACGGCUUUUUGAUGCCUCUGGAAGAUGAGAAACGCGGCUGUUUUUUAGAACAAACAGGGUACAAUAACAACCAUCAUUGAGGAGGUGAAGGUAAUGAGGUUUUCAUGAGUCAAAUUUUGAGCAUGCGCAAGAGCUUUAACGUGGAAGAUGUGGCGUAGGUUUGAUCUUAGCUGUAUAGGGUGAUGUUUUGUGGUCUGUUUGAUUUUUUAGCUAUUGUUCUUGGUGUAUAUAUGGGGUGUAAGUUUGUAAGUUUGUAAUCUGCAACUUGCAGAUGAUGAAAUAAAAGUUUAGUUGGCCGUUAGAAAAACAUGAUGAACUUUGCAAUGCUUAACUAUGUUUCUAAACUGUUAUCAUUUCAAUAGUUUUCAAUGUUUAAAAGGUGUCAAGCAUAUUUAUCAUUCUUGCAACAGUGGUU